AGCGAACGCUGGCGGCAGGCCUAACACAUGCAAGUCGAACGAACUCUUCGGAGUUAGUGGCGGACGGGUGAGUAACACGUGGGAACGUGCCUUUAGGUUCGGAAUAACUCAGGGAAACUUGUGCUAAUACCGAAUGUGCCCUUCGGGGGAAAGAUUUAUCGCCUUUAGAGCGGCCCGCGUCUGAUUAGCUAGUUGGUGAGGUAAAGGCUCACCAAGGCGACGAUCAGUAGCUGGUCUGAGAGGAUGAUCAGCCACAUUGGGACUGAGACACGGCCCAAACCCCUCCGGGAGGCAGCAGGGGGGAAUCUUGCGCAAUGGGCGAAAGCCUGACGCAGCCAGGCCGGGGGAAUGAUGAAGGUUUUGGGAUUGUAAAAUUUUUUCACCGGGGACGAUAAUGACGGUACCCGGAGAAGAAGCCCCGGCUAACUUCGU
This 432-nucleotide ribosomal RNA is filed under the name uncultured bacterium. RNAcentral describes it as "partial 16S ribosomal RNA". It matches the Rfam family "Bacterial small subunit ribosomal RNA", at positions 29 to 506 of the family's 1533-position model. The record is from RNAcentral.